This 553-nucleotide ribosomal RNA is filed under the name uncultured bacterium. RNAcentral's name for it is "bacterial SSU rRNA". It matches the Rfam family "Bacterial small subunit ribosomal RNA", at positions 137 to 674 of the family's 1533-position model. The record is from RNAcentral.
CGGGGGACAACAUUUAGGAAACAGAUGCUAAUACCGCAUAACAGCGUUGUUCGCAUGAACAACGCUUAAAACAUGGCUUCUCGCUAUCACUUCUGGAUGGACCUGCGGUGCAUUAGCUUGUUGGUGGGGUAACGGCCUACCAAGGCGAUGAUGCAUAGCCGAGUUGAGAGACUGAUCGGCCACAAUGGGACUGAGACACGGCCCAUACUCCUACGGGAGGCAGCAGCAGGGAAUCUUCCACAAUGGGCGCAAGCCUGAUGGAGCAACACCGCGUGAGUGAAGAGGGGUUUCGGCUCGUAAAGCUCUGUUGUUAAAGAAGAACACGUAUGAGAGUAACUGUUCAUACGUUGACGGUAUUUAACCAGAAAGUCACGGCUAACUACGUGCCAGCAGCCGCGGUAAUACGUAGGUGGCAAGCGUUAUCCGGAUUUAUUGGGCGUAAAGAGAGUGCAGGCGGUUUUCUAAGUCUGAUGUGAAAGCCUUCGGCUUAACCGGAGAAGUGCAUCGGAAACUGGAUAACUUGAGUGCAGAAGAGGGUAGUGGAACUCCAUGU